UCGCCAGUUCAAGUCUGGUUCCUG
This 24-nucleotide transfer RNA is filed under the name Erica cinerea (bell-heather). RNAcentral's name for it is "partial tRNA-Phe". The record is from RNAcentral. Lineage: Eukaryota; Viridiplantae; Streptophyta; Magnoliopsida; Ericales; Ericaceae.